This 327-nucleotide unclassified non-coding RNA is filed under the name soil metagenome. Its description in RNAcentral is "partial contains 5.8S ribosomal RNA, internal transcribed spacer 2, and large subunit ribosomal RNA". The stretch from base 1 to 120 matches the Rfam family "5.8S ribosomal RNA", at positions 35 to 154 of the family's 154-position model. The record is from RNAcentral.
GAUGAAGAACGUAGCGAAAUGCGAUACGUAGUGGGAAUUGCAGAAUUCAGUGAAUCAUCGAAUCUUUGAACGCACAUUGCGCCCCUUGGUAUUCCGAGGGGCAUGCCUGUUCGAGCGUCAUUAUAACCCCUCAAGCUCGGCUUGGUGUUGGGGCCUGCCGCACGGGCAGCCCUUAAAAUCAGUGGCGGUGCCAUCUGGCUCUAAGCGUAGUAAUUCUUCUCGCUAUAGAGUCCCGGUGGAUGCUUGCCAUUAACCCCCAAUUUCAAUGGUUGACCUCGGAUCAGGUAGGGAUACCCGCUGAACUUAAGCAUAUCAAUAAGCGGAGGA